This 1066-nucleotide long non-coding RNA is filed under the name Phascolarctos cinereus (koala). RNAcentral's name for it is "lncRNA (ENSPCIG00000034089.1)". The record is from RNAcentral. Lineage: Eukaryota; Metazoa; Chordata; Mammalia; Diprotodontia; Phascolarctidae.
GUGAUAUCCACAUCAUGGGUACUACCAAGAUUUUCCUGCUCCUUCUCUCAGUGGCCCUGUUGGCCCUGAGCUCAGCUCAAGGAACACCCAAGGAAGCCCCAAGACAGCAACCUGCUGAACCUGAACCAGGGGAUUUCCUGGAUAAAAAUUUCAAGCAGCCCCAAGGCAACAAACUAGGAAAAGUAAAGACGCAGAAGAGCCAGGCGACCCACCUGAAGGAGAACCAGGCGAACCACCUGAAGGCGAACCACCUGAAGGAGAACCAGGCGAACCACCUGAAGGAGAACCAGGUGCACCACCUGAAGGUAAGUAAUAUGUCUAUCUCUAAACACUCCUUUCUUUCCCCGUUCCUUGAGGACCCUAGACCUUGUCUCUCAUUUGAAACCAUUUGGCACAUCCACUCUUAAAGUUCAGUACCAAGAAAGAGAGGGUAAUAAUGAACUAAGAGGGUGGUCAGCUUAAAAGGCUUUGUUUUCUCUUGCCAUUGCAUAGCUCUCAUAUUUCCACCAGAGAUUUUUCCAGAUCAAAAAUUCAAAAUUAUUUUGCCAUCUUUUCCCAAAGCAUAGUUUGCUUUUUUCCAUUGCCUAAUAUCCUAGAUCAAACAUUUCAAGAUCACUUUGUAAUAUUUAAUGCAAUGUUCUCUUCAUGUCUCUGCAGUGUGGGUAUUUCUCUCUCUCUUUCUCUGUGUUUUCACAGUCCCUCUGUGUCUGGUCUUUCUCUGAAUUGAUAUCUUUAUCUCUCUGUCUCUGUCUCGCUUUUUCUCUGCCUUUGUCUCUCCCUCUGUCUCUCUCUCUUUCACACACACACACACACACACACACACACACCCAUACACACACACAUAUUCUCUGUAUCUCUCUCUCUCCCUUGUACUUUCACCUUUGAAAAAGUGAAAUUUCAGAAAGCAAAAGAGGAAAAGAAGGAAAUGUAAUAUUAGCAAUUCAAACAGACAAAUGCGUAUUGAAAAUAUUUGUACCUAAAACACAAAAUUAAGAAAUAUUACAUCCUGGACAUAAUUUCCCCCUUUACACAAAGGCUCUUCACUUCUUCUAAGGAAGGAGCCAUC